GAACUUGCUUUGGUGACAAAUUCAUGUACUAAAACUAGAAAAAUACAGAAAAGAUUGACACGACUCAGGCACAGGAAUGACACACAAAUUCUUAAAAUGUUUUCUUAUUUU
Pteropus alecto (black flying fox) is the source of this 111-nucleotide non-coding RNA. Lineage: Eukaryota; Metazoa; Chordata; Mammalia; Chiroptera; Pteropodidae. The record is from Rfam.